Molecule: ribosomal RNA, 497 nt
Filed under: uncultured bacterium
Lineage: Bacteria
Description: partial 16S ribosomal RNA
Rfam family: Bacterial small subunit ribosomal RNA
Source: RNAcentral
AAUGAACGCUGGCGGCGUGCCUAAUACAUGCAAGUCGAGCGAAAAGACGAGGAGAUUGCUCCUCUGACGUUAGCGGCGGACGGGUGAGUAACACGUGGAUAACCAACCUAUAAGACUGGGAUAACUUCGGGAAAAAGGUGAUAAUAACGGCUAAUAUAUUGAACCGCAUGGAUCAAUAGAGAAAGACGGUUUUGCUGUCUCUAAUAGAUGGAUCCGCGCCGCAUUAGCUAGUUGGUAAGGUAACGGCCUACCAAGGCGACGAUGCGUAGCUGACCUGAGAGGGUGAUCGGCCACACUGGAACUGAGACACGGUCCAGACUCCUACGGGAGGCAGCAGUAGGGAAUCUUCCGCAAUGGGCGAAAGCCUGACGGAGCAACGCCGCGUGAGUGAUGAAGGUCUUCGGAUCGUAAAACUCUGUUAUUAGGGAAGAACAAAUGUGUAAGUAACUAUGCACGUCUUGACGGUACCUAAUCAGAAAGCCACGGCUAACUACGUG